Molecule: ribosomal RNA, 460 nt
Filed under: uncultured bacterium
Lineage: Bacteria
Description: partial 16S ribosomal RNA
Rfam family: Bacterial small subunit ribosomal RNA
Source: RNAcentral
CCUACGGGAGGCAGCAGUGAGGAAUAUUGGUCAAUGGGCGGAAGCCUGAACCAGCCAAGUAGCGUGCAGGAUGACGGCCCUACGGGUUGUAAACUGCUUUUAUACGGGAAUAACGCGCCUUACGUGUAGGGCUUUGCAUGUACCGUAUGAAUAAGGACCGGCUAAUUCCGUGCCAGCAGCCGCGGUAAUACGGAAGGUCCGGGCGUUAUCCGGAUUUAUUGGGUUUAAAGGGAGCGUAGGCCGCAUGUCAAGCGUGCUGUGAAAUGUCCGGGCGCAACCCGGGCCUUGCAGCGCGAACUGGCGUGAGUGAGUCCGCGGAAAGCAGGAGGAAUUCGUCGGGUAGCGGUGAAAUGCUUAGAUAUGACGAAGAACCCCGAGUGAGAAGGCAGCUUGCUGCAGCGGAACUGACGCUGAUGCUCGAAAGCGCGGGUAUCGAACAGGAGUAGAUACCCGAGUAGUC